UCAGGAUCAAGUAGAGGAAAGUCUCUCUGGCGAAGAUCACUCUUAAUAUGGAGUAUGCGGGCUUUGGAGUCACGCAGACCAGGGUUGAACCUGUAGGCAUGUGAUUGUGGUCAAAUUACUCCACCCCUCUGAUCUGUGGUUUUGCCAUCUUUGCCAUUUAUAAAAUGAGGGUGGGGAUAGCACCUGCCUCCUAAAUCUUAGGUGAUCUGCUACAUAUGCGGAGAUUGGGGAAUCACUAACACCCAGUAUGGGCCUUAUAGCUCUUAAUUUACAGCUCUUAGCUUCCUGUGUACUCUCUUUCCUGUCACCGGGACUGAAGGGAAAGUGAGGAACAAGAGACAGAUAAGCGAGAAAUGAAAGACUGAGACCAGGCAGAGAUACCUAGGAGACAGUUUCUUUGUCAGGGCUGACAAAUAAAGGCCAUCUCUCUGUAGAUGGAUAGAGGCAAAACAGGCUUGGGUUACAGGACUUUUAUGGGGCAGGCUUAGGAAUCAUAACUAGGCAGAUCUUAAUGCGGGGGUGGUUAGGGGUUGGGUUGGUAUGAGGGAGUGGAAAGCCUUUCUCAGAAAGGUCCUUGAGUGAGAAAGCAAAACUUUUUCCUUAAAAUAGAGACUAUCACUUCAGAUGGCCAUCCAGAUGCUAAGAAAGGACCUUAUAGGGACCGUGUAGCACAGCAAGCAGGGAACAAAAGAAAAUUCAGC
This 701-nucleotide long non-coding RNA is filed under the name Marmota monax (woodchuck). The record is from RNAcentral. Lineage: Eukaryota; Metazoa; Chordata; Mammalia; Rodentia; Sciuridae.